This 93-nucleotide transfer RNA is filed under the name Grifola frondosa (maitake). It matches the Rfam family "tRNA". From Rfam's summary of the family: Transfer RNA (tRNA) molecules are approximately 80 nucleotides in length. Their secondary structure includes four short double-helical elements and three loops (D, anti-codon, and T loops). The record is from Rfam by way of RNAcentral. Lineage: Eukaryota; Fungi; Basidiomycota; Agaricomycetes; Polyporales; Grifolaceae.
UCCGAUAUGGUGUAGUGGCUAACAUUAUCGCCUCUCAUCUAGUUUGUGGAUCUGGGUGCGCGAUAGCCCGGGGUUCGAUUCCCCGUGUCGGAA